RNAcentral lists this ribosomal RNA (253 nucleotides) under uncultured bacterium. RNAcentral's name for it is "partial 16S ribosomal RNA". It matches the Rfam family "Bacterial small subunit ribosomal RNA", at positions 524 to 776 of the family's 1533-position model. The record is from RNAcentral.
UACGUAGGGGGCAAGCGUUGUCCGGAAUUAUUGGGCGUAAAGAGCGUGUAGGCGGUCCGGUAAGUCAGCUGUGAAAGUCAAGGGCUCAACCCUUGAAUGCCGGUUGAUACUGUCGGGCUAGAGUCCGGAUGAGGCGAGUGGAAUUCCCGGUGUAGCGGUGAAAUGCGCAGAUAUCGGGAGGAACACCAAUGGCGAAGGCAGCUCGCUGGGACGGUACUGACGCUGAGACGCGAAAGCGUGGGGAGCAAACAGG